Molecule: ribosomal RNA, 253 nt
Filed under: uncultured bacterium
Lineage: Bacteria
Description: partial 16S ribosomal RNA
Rfam family: Bacterial small subunit ribosomal RNA
Source: RNAcentral
UACGUAGGUGACUAGCGUUGUUCGGAUUUAUUGGGCGUAAAGGGUCCGCAGGGGGCCGGCUAAGUUCGAUGUGAAAUCCCGGAGCUUAACUUCGGAACUGCAUUGGAGACUGGCUGGCUAGAGCAUCGGAGAGGAGAAUGGAAUUCCAGGUGUAGCGGUGGAAUGCGUAGAUAUCUGGAAGAACACCAAAGGCGAAGGCAGUUCUCUGGACGAUUGCUGACCCUCAGGGACGAAAGCAUGGGGAGCAAACAGG